CCCUGGCUGGCUCAGUUGGUAGAGCAUGAGACUGUUGAUCUUGGAGUCAUGAGUUCAAGCUCCCUGUUGGGGU
This 73-nucleotide transfer RNA is filed under the name Ailuropoda melanoleuca (giant panda). It matches the Rfam family "tRNA". Rfam says of the family: Transfer RNA (tRNA) molecules are approximately 80 nucleotides in length. Their secondary structure includes four short double-helical elements and three loops (D, anti-codon, and T loops). Further hydrogen bonds mediate the characteristic L-shaped molecular structure. tRNAs have two regions of fundamental functional importance: the anti-codon, which is responsible for specific mRNA codon recognition, and the 3' end, to which the tRNAs corresponding amino acid is attached (by aminoacyl-tRNA synthetases). tRNAs cope with the degeneracy of the genetic code in two manners: having more than one tRNA (with a specific anti-codon) for a particular amino acid; and 'wobble' base-pairing, i.e. permitting non-standard base-pairing at the 3rd anti-codon position. The record is from Rfam by way of RNAcentral. Lineage: Eukaryota; Metazoa; Chordata; Mammalia; Carnivora; Ursidae.